UACAGAGGGUGCGAGCGUUAAUCGGAAUUACUGGGCGUAAAGCGUGCGUAGACGGUUAUUUAAGUCGGGUGUGAAAGCCCCGGGCUCAACCUGGGAAUUGCAUUCGAGACUGAAUAGCUAGGGUACGGUAGAGGGAAGCGGAAUUUCCGGUGUAGCGGUGAAAUGCGUAGAUAUCGGAAGGAACAUCAGUGGCGAAGGCGGCAUCCUGGACCGGUAUUGACGCUGAGGCGCGAAAGCCAGGGGAGCAAACGGG
RNAcentral lists this ribosomal RNA (253 nucleotides) under uncultured bacterium. Its description in RNAcentral is "partial 16S ribosomal RNA". It matches the Rfam family "Bacterial small subunit ribosomal RNA", at positions 524 to 776 of the family's 1533-position model. The record is from RNAcentral.